AUCUCUGUUGCUCAAUGGAUAGAGUGUUGGACUUCUAAUCCGAAGGUGGUGGGUUCGAAUCCCACCUGGGAUA
This is a non-coding RNA of Trichonephila clavipes, 73 nucleotides long. NCBI's taxonomy places the organism in Eukaryota, Metazoa, Arthropoda, Arachnida, Araneae, Nephilidae. The record is from the annotation of a GenBank genome assembly.